GGAGAUUUUAAUGAGAACCAGUUACAGAGUGGAAGAAAACAGAUUCUGGAGCAGUUUCAGUCGAGAGGGUAUUCACAGCUGAUCACUUCUGCCACUACAGACAAGAACACCCUGCUUGACCUCAUUUUUAUUUCUCAGCCACAGCACAGUCUCCAUUCAGGUGUCCUGAGGACAUAUUACAGUUACCACAACCCUGUGUUUUGUGUCCUGUCCUCCAGCCAAUCAUGAAGUCGUCUGAUGUAUUUUUUUCAGACAGGGCACACACAGUCCUGUUUCCUUUGUGGGAAAACCUUCAAACUUCACCAUCCUCAGCUGAAACAACAACAUCUUAACACCAUCUUCAUGAACUGUUGAGCCAAACCUGAUCCAUCAGUGCUGGACUGCACAGAUAACUACAUGCCACAAGGAGACUGCUGUGUUAUGAACUGCCAUACCAGUGUGUCUUCAAUGGAGAAGAUGACACACCCAUCACCUGACCUCCUGCCUGAUCUGGAGACCAUCAUCAUGCUGCCACACUACACACCUCUGAGACCCUCAAUGAUGACUGAUACUGAGGAAACUGUAUUUCCUGUCAGAGAUGCUCAGUGAUCCUCAGAGCAGAGAGAGGUACUGCUGUCUCCUGAGUUCUUCAGUGUCCCAACUGAGACAUUCAAACCUCAUUGCAGAGCUCAUGCCUUUCCUCACCAUCAUGUGAGUGUGAGAUUGCUCUGGAUUCUGGUUAUGUGGCCUGCAGCACCUAUAAGAACAAGCUCGUACAGUGUGCCUGCAUUCCAGCUUCUUAGACUCUCACGUAAGUGGACAGUAUCAGUGUUUGGCCGCUCUUACAGACACCGACUUCUGUCAACUCACUGCUACUGAUCAGGCACCUCACUUCAGGAAGACAGAGGGCUGCAAGCCUGUCAUCGUUUCCAGUGUGGCUUUGAAUUCUUGGGGUAGUAUCAGAUUUUUC
Long non-coding RNA from Oreochromis aureus, 949 nucleotides. The record is from Ensembl. NCBI's taxonomy places the organism in Eukaryota, Metazoa, Chordata, Actinopteri, Cichliformes, Cichlidae.